This 504-nucleotide ribosomal RNA is filed under the name uncultured bacterium. RNAcentral's name for it is "bacterial SSU rRNA". It matches the Rfam family "Bacterial small subunit ribosomal RNA", at positions 29 to 536 of the family's 1533-position model. The record is from RNAcentral.
AUUGAACGCUGGCGGCAUGCCUUACACAUGCAAGUCGAACGGUAACAGGUCUUCGGAUGCUGACGAGUGGCGAACGGGUGAGUAAUACAUCGGAACGUGCCCGAUCGUGGGGGAUAACGCAGCGAAAGCUGUGCUAAUACCGCAUACGAUCUACGGAUGAAAGCGGGGGAUCGCAAGACCUCGCGCGGACGGAGCGGCCGAUGGCAGAUUAGGUAGUUGGUGGGAUAAAAGCUUACCAAGCCGACGAUCUGUAGCUGGUCUGAGAGGACGACCAGCCACACUGGGACUGAGACACGGACCAGACUCCUACGGGAGGCAGCAGUGAGGAAUAUUGGUCAAUGGGCGGAAGCCUGAACCAGCCAUGCCGCGUGCAGGAUGACGGCCCUACGGGUUGUAAACUGCUUUUCCCGGGGCGAAUAACCCCUCGCGAGGGGAGUGCCGGUACCGGGGAAGUAAGGAGUCGGCUAACUCCGUGCCAGCAGCCGCGGUAACGUGUAGUCGUCG